CGUCACAAGGCAUGACGGACAAGCGCUCCUUUACACCGUGACAUGACAGUAGAGUGGGCAGCGCAUCGGAGGAUUUGAAGGGAGACUUUUAGCAGUGAGGGACAGCCCCAUCACCUUCUCCUUCUCUAUGCGCAUGAGUCAGGAUUGCGUUGACACAGCAUACACUAAGACUAGCGUAUCGACAGACUCGACGCUCGGCUGUUGACCAUUGGAGUCCAUGGCACUCUGAGGAAGGCUGGAUCCGGCCAAAAAGCUUUUAAAGGACUUUUUGCUCUGAAAUUGUUUAAAACCCUUCAGCCAUUUGUACAGUCUGCAGGGCAGGACACCUCCAGGAAUAUUCUUAUACUCACCAAGUGACUGGGCAAGCAAAUAUUGAAAAAUUAAUUUUUUGGAGGUUCACCAAUGGAUAAGACUAAACCAAAUGACCCUGUCCAUGGGGACUUUAGGUACAGAUCAUAAAUCAACAUCAGAGAGAUUUGUAGCUCCAACCAACUGAGAGGUCAUUCAUUAUGAGCCGACAGGACGUGACUACAUACUCCACUAAUCCAUCUCCACUGUUUCUGCCUUCAUCACAGGGGCCCCUCAGAGCAAAUCCCCCUGUAGCAGAAUGGGCCUUAAUGCAGAUGUGG
This is a long non-coding RNA of Electrophorus electricus (electric eel), 629 nucleotides long. RefSeq lists it as uncharacterized. NCBI's taxonomy places the organism in Eukaryota, Metazoa, Chordata, Actinopteri, Gymnotiformes, Gymnotidae. The record is from RefSeq and is a predicted model, not a curated record.